This 143-nucleotide ribosomal RNA is filed under the name Sweltsa sp. MT-2021. RNAcentral describes it as "partial 12S ribosomal RNA". Lineage: Eukaryota; Metazoa; Arthropoda; Insecta; Plecoptera; Chloroperlidae. The record is from RNAcentral.
GACGAGGGGCUCAAGUAAAUGUUUUUAGUUUAGUAGUUAGAUGAUUAUUUAUNGAAAGUAGGUUUAGUCUUNUUGGGUGAAAUUUUAAGAUUAAUUAAUUUCUUANNNUGNUUUUGAAGCUAUGAAAUUUAAAUUUUAAACUA